Lethenteron reissneri (Far Eastern brook lamprey) is the source of this 145-nucleotide small nucleolar RNA. RefSeq annotates it as small nucleolar RNA SNORA79. The record is from RefSeq and is a predicted model, not a curated record. NCBI's taxonomy places the organism in Eukaryota, Metazoa, Chordata, Hyperoartia, Petromyzontiformes, Petromyzontidae.
CGACAGGCGUUCCUCUUGCUGCUUGAAGCCAUAGCAGCAGGAUUUAGUUCUGUCGGAGAGCAAAUGGCUUGAUUCACUCUAGAUGCCCGCCAGGCGGUUGUGCUGCCCCUCUACGGCAUUUGGAAGUUUGCGAAGUCGGACAACU